This 550-nucleotide ribosomal RNA is filed under the name uncultured bacterium. RNAcentral's name for it is "bacterial SSU rRNA". It matches the Rfam family "Bacterial small subunit ribosomal RNA", at positions 355 to 896 of the family's 1533-position model. The record is from RNAcentral.
UAGGGAAUCUUCGGCAAUGGACGGAAGUCUGACCGAGCAACGCCGCGUGAGUGAAGAAGGUUUUCGGAUCGUAAAGCUCUGUUGUAAGAGAGGAACGAGUGUGAGAGUGGAAAGUUCACACUGUGACGGUAUCUUACCAGAAAGGGACGGCUAACUACGUGCCAGCAGCCGCGGUAAUACGUAGGUCCCGAGCGUUGUCCGGAUUUAUUGGGCGUAAAGCGAGCGCAGGCGGUUAGAUAAGUCUGAAGUUAAAGGCUGUGGCUUAACCAUAGUAGGCUUUGGAAACUGUUUAACUUGAGUGCAAGAGGGGAGAGUGGAAUUCCAUGUGUAGCGGUGAAAUGCGUAGAUAUAUGGAGGAACACCGGUGGCGAAAGCGGCUCUCUGGCUUGUAACUGACGCUGAGGCUCGAAAGCGUGGGGAGCAAACAGGAUUAGAUACCCUGGUAGUCCACGCUGUAAACGAUGAGUGCUAGGUGUUAGACCCUUUCCGGGGUUUAGUGCCGUAGCUAACGCAUUAAGCACUCCGCCUGGGGAGUACGACCGCAAGGUUG